This 17-nucleotide ribosomal RNA is filed under the name Pythium insidiosum. RNAcentral describes it as "partial 28S ribosomal RNA". The record is from RNAcentral. Lineage: Eukaryota; Oomycota; Peronosporomycetes; Pythiales; Pythiaceae.
GACGUGAUAUCAGGCAA